Molecule: transfer RNA, 85 nt
Filed under: Candidatus Falkowbacteria bacterium CG1_02_37_44
Lineage: Bacteria; Candidatus Falkowiibacteriota
Description: tRNA-Leu
Rfam family: tRNA
About the family: Transfer RNA (tRNA) molecules are approximately 80 nucleotides in length.
Source: RNAcentral
GCGCGGGUGCUGUAACCGGAAGCCAGGCUGGCUUGAGGUGCCAGUGCCGCAAGGCGUGGAGGUUCGAGUCCUCUCCCGCGCACCG